Molecule: long non-coding RNA, 764 nt
Organism: Aphidius gifuensis
Lineage: Eukaryota; Metazoa; Arthropoda; Insecta; Hymenoptera; Braconidae
Exons: 3
Source: RefSeq, a predicted model, not a curated record
GUUUGAUUUUUCUCCAUUUAAACACAUGGAAUUACGUUGAUAGAUGAAGACAGAUGUUACAUCAUGAAAUCACUCAAACUACAAUCAAAUAAAUAUAACAAAUGAUAACAAAAAAGAAGAUGGUGAAUAUUACCCAGUGUCUUACCAAAAAGUUAAGCUGGAUUGAUACUGGUAGUGUUGUCUUUAAUUUACCUCCAGACAAAAUGGACUUGUUUUCUACUCAAUCAAAAUAUUUAUGUUUAUCCAUAUCAUUUUGAAACAACAUGCAGCUCUAUUUUUAUUUGCAUCAUUGUCUUGGAAGUUGAUUACUCACUGAUUGACUCACUUGUCUUUUCAAUUAGUAAUUAUUAGUUAUUAAUAACAUUGAGUAAAAUAAUAAUAAAAUAAUAACAACUUUACAGUACAUCAUAGCCAAAGUUUCUCAUCUAACGUUUUCUGACCAAAAACUUGAUCAAUUGGUUGAUGAAUCAAUUAAGUAAUAAUAACAGAUAUUGAUCCUAAUGGAGUAUCUUGCCAUUUAAAUUCUUCUUGACAAGUUACAUAAGCCAGCCAAUAAAAUAUAUUCAAUAAAGUAUAAGAAGCUGGAAAAAUAACACGAGCAACUCUAUCAAUAUGUGAUACACUGUUAAUAUGUCGUUCGAUUCUUUCACCUUUUCCUCGACAACCAUUUGCAACUUCUUGUUGUCGAUUACGUCUAAAGCAAAAAAUAAAAUAAAAUAAAACAUUUUAUAUUUAUAUUAAUCCAUCUUGAUAAUACAUAAUUU